GAUGAACGCUGGCGGCGUGUCUAAUACAUGCAAGUCGAGCGAACAGACGAGGAGCUUGCUCCUCUGACGUUAGCGGCGGACGGGUGAGUAACACGUGGAUAACCUACCUAUAAUACUGGGAUAACUUCGGGAAACCGCAGCUAAUACCGGAUAAUAUAUUCAACCGCAUGGUUCAAUAGUGAAAGACGGUUUUGCUGUCACUUAUAGAUGGAUCCGCGCCGCAUUAGCUAGUUGGUAAGGUAACGGCUUACCAAGGCGACGAUGCGUAGCCGACCUGAGAGGGUGAUCAGCCACACUGGAACUGAGACACGGUCCAGACUCCUACGGGAGGCAGCAGUAGGGAAUCUUCGGCAAAGGGCGAAAGCCUGACGGAGCAACGCCGCGUGAGUGAUGAAGGUCUUCGGAUCGUAAAACUCUGUUAUUAGGGAAGAAAAAAUGUGUAAGUAACUAUGCACGUCUUGACGGUACCUAAUCAGAAAGCCACGGCUAACUACGUG
RNAcentral lists this ribosomal RNA (497 nucleotides) under uncultured bacterium. RNAcentral describes it as "partial 16S ribosomal RNA". It matches the Rfam family "Bacterial small subunit ribosomal RNA", at positions 28 to 507 of the family's 1533-position model. The record is from RNAcentral.